UACAUGAUCCAGAGAUAUGUGUUGUUCGAAACUCGGUUGUCGGGGGGCAGUCUGCAUCGAGCCAGGUGGGGUUUGCCAAGAUCAUGAGAGUUCUAUGCAGUAGAAUCUCAAAGGCUGUCGGAGGGAUUAUUGUGACUUGGCGGCUAGGAAGUUGUAACAUUGAUAUUUUGUCAUAAAUAUAAUCAACAGGUCUUUAUGGUCAUAUCAGAAGAAAAUGGGCGCCAAUGGAUUUUCUCUGCAGUUUGUGGGUACUGUUGGAUGAGAUAUCCAGUAGAGGUGGCAAAAUAUGACCCGACCCGCCAACCCGACCCGUGUUCGACCCGCCAUAAACAGGUUUGGAUUUGGCCUAAACAGGUUCGGGUCGUAAACAGGUUGACCCGUUUAACUUGUUUAUUAAUUGGGUCGGAUACGGGUUUUAGACGUCGGACCCGUUUAACCCGUAUAACCUGUUUAACUGUUGGGCUGAUAGAUAAGGGCCACAAUCCACAAGAUUCAGGGCCGGCCCAAUUCUCCGCCUCGGCCCAAUUUCACCGCGUUGGCCCGAUUUCACCGCGAGGUCCUUAGGGUUAGGGAUUGCCGUUUGUGCGCCGCCCGAGCUCAUAGUCUCUGUCUCUCGCUCUCCCCUCUACUCUCGGUGCCGCCCGAGCUCCGGAUUCUUCGCCUCCCGAGCCCUCUCCUCUAGACCUCCACCUCCGCCCUCUCGUCCCCCUUGCCGACUACUUCCGCCUCCCCGUCGACGGCGACCACGGCGGCUCGACCGGUCCUGGGAUUUCUUUGGCUCCCGUCGCCUUCCCUCUCCCUCUUCUGUUCAAAGUCUUCCGUGCGUGCGAGGUCGGAUCCUCUGCUCUACCGAGAAAAGACAUUCACCAUCAAACGGUAGAGCACUUUGUCAAGGUCUAGCAUUCUUGGGGAUUUCUUCCAUCAACAAUUUCAUAAGCUCGGACUAGACCCAACAGGAAUGGCUUUCAACUUUGAAUUUUGUUGGCCAGGUCAAGCUUCUGAAACACCCUAUCGUCACCUUGGCUAUAACUAAGAUUCAAUGGAGACCUGAUCCAAAAGUACAAAUAGCAUUCAUCCAAUCCAUUUGCAGCACCAGCAACCAAUAACACUCCAUUUCAGGAAAUAUAUUGCUCCCAUUCACCUCGGACUGGAGAUUCAGUUAAUCUAAAAAUUUUGAGUAGCCUAUGCGUCUCAAAUCAGCAAGAGAAGUUUCAAAGCAAAUAUCAAAAUUUUGAACAGACCUGCCUAGGAGUAGAGGCCUUUGUUCCAAAAGAAAAGUGUGAUUGAAGCCCACCAUGUUUCAUUAUAAUGAGACAAGUUCAUCUAUGGGGAAAUUUGUAUGCCAUCAAGCUGCAUGCUGAUGAGAGUACCCCUUUUUUUUGUGUUAGCUUAAACAUUGGUAACUUAACAUAUUCAAUUUUAUUUUUACCAUCAAUUUUAUGUGUGGCUUCUUUUGAUACUUAUAGCUAUUUGAUAGUUUCUUUUGCUAGAUUCUUUUUUUGCACAGGUUGCUAUUGUAAGUUUGUAACUUUUGAUGGAAGCAAUGUCUCAGAUUGCAAAUGAUUCUCGGGAGAAGAAGCGCAAUUUUACUGAAACCUCAUCAUCUGAGUGCUAAGUUGGCUCUGCUGCUUCUGCAGACAUAUCAUCUAACUUUGCAUGCUCUGUACAUACAACAGGGUUUGGUAUAAUCAUCUUGUUGACUUGUAUCUGCUGCUUUAUAGAAAGAUGGACCUGGAGCACCUGGAGGACAGUCAUGGACAGUGCAAUGGUUGAAGUUCGACAACAGCUACUUCAAGAGUUGCUUAGAUUGUGCCUUGUCUGAAUCAUCUGUCAGUCUGGUAUUUGGUGUGGUUGUGCCACAGGCUGUUGACUGCAUAUUAUCUAUGGUUGCCAUUGGUGAUAUUAAUUCUUGAUGAUGUGUGAACAUAUGCCAAUGCCUGGAGGACAGUCAUGGACAGUCCAAUGGUUGAAGUUCGACAACAGCUCCUUGGACCCAUCUUUCAAGGU
Non-coding RNA from Phoenix dactylifera (date palm), 2007 nucleotides. NCBI's taxonomy places the organism in Eukaryota, Viridiplantae, Streptophyta, Magnoliopsida, Arecales, Arecaceae. The record is from RefSeq and is a predicted model, not a curated record.